GACGAACGCUGGCGGCGUGCUUAACACAUGCAAGUCGAACGGAAAGGCCCUGCUUUUGUGGGGUGCUCGAGUGGCGAACGGGUGAGUAACACGUGAGUAACCUGCCCUUGACUUUGGGAUAACUUCAGGAAACUGGGGCUAAUACCGGAUAGGAGCUCCUGCUGCAUGGGGGGGGUGGGAAGGUUUCGGCGGUUGGGGAUGGACUCGCGGCUUAUCAGCUUGUUGGUGGGGUAGUGGCUUACCAAGGCUUUGACGGGUAGCCGGCCUGAGAGGGUGACCGGCCACAUUGGGACUGAGAUACGGCCCAGACUCCUACGGGAGGCAGCAGUGGGGAAUAUUGCACAAUGGGCGGAAGCCUGAUGCAGCAACGCCGCGUGCGGGAUGACGGCCUUCGGGUUGUAAACCGCUUUCGCCUGUGACGAAGCGUGAGUGACGGUAAUGGGUAAAGAAGCACCGGCUAACUACGUG
This 468-nucleotide ribosomal RNA is filed under the name uncultured bacterium. RNAcentral's name for it is "partial 16S ribosomal RNA". It matches the Rfam family "Bacterial small subunit ribosomal RNA", at positions 28 to 507 of the family's 1533-position model. The record is from RNAcentral.